This 22-nucleotide microRNA is filed under the name Oryza sativa (Asian cultivated rice). RNAcentral's name for it is "osa-miR395w". Its record names the gene osa-miR395w. Lineage: Eukaryota; Viridiplantae; Streptophyta; Magnoliopsida; Poales; Poaceae. The record is from miRBase by way of RNAcentral.
GUGAAGUGUUUGGGGGAUUCUC